UAAGACGAACCGUGCGAACGUUAUUCGGAAUCACUGGGCUUAAAGCGCGUGUAGGUGGCUUGGCACGUCUGUCGCUGAAAUCCCACGGCUCAACCGUGGAACGGGCGUGGAUACGACCAGGCUUGAGGGAUGUAGGGGGAUCGGGAACUUCCGGUGGAGCGGUGAAAUGCGUUGAGAUCGGAAGGAACGCCCGUGGCGAAAGCGCGGUCCUGGACAUUUCCUGACACUGAGACGCGAAAGCUAGGGGAGCAAACGGGAUUAGAUACCCCGGUAGUCCUAGCCGUAAACGAUGGGCACUGGGUAGGAGGCUCGCCGAUGGGCUUCCUGCCGCAGCGAAAGCGUGAAGUGCCCCGCCUGGGGAGUAUGGUCGCAAGGCUG
This 378-nucleotide ribosomal RNA is filed under the name uncultured bacterium. RNAcentral's name for it is "bacterial SSU rRNA". It matches the Rfam family "Bacterial small subunit ribosomal RNA", at positions 521 to 896 of the family's 1533-position model. The record is from RNAcentral.